UACGGGAAGGCAGCAGUGGGGAAUAUUGCACAAUGGGCGAAAGCCUGAUGCAGCUAUGCCGCGUGUAUGAAGAAGGCCUUAGGGUUGUAAAGUACUUUCAUCGGGGAGGAAAAACAAAACUAAUAAUUUUAUUUCUUGACGUUACCCGAAAAAGAAGCACCGGCUAACUCCGUGCCAGCAGCCGCGGUAAUACGGAGGGUGCUAGCGUUAAUCAGAAUUACUGGGCGUAAAGAGCACGUAGGUGGUUUUUUUAGGUCAGAUGUGAAAUCCCUGGGCUUAACCUAGGAACUGCAUUUUGAAACUGAAAUACUAGAGUAUCGUAGAGGGAGGUAGAAUUCUAGGUGUAGCGGUGAAAUGCGUAGAUAUCUGGAGGAAUACCUGUGGCGAAAGCGGCCUCCUAAACGAAUACUGACACUGAGGGUGCGAAAGCGUGGGGAGCAAACAGGGAUUAGAUACC
This 457-nucleotide ribosomal RNA is filed under the name uncultured bacterium. RNAcentral's name for it is "bacterial SSU rRNA". It matches the Rfam family "Bacterial small subunit ribosomal RNA", at positions 340 to 786 of the family's 1533-position model. The record is from RNAcentral.